CUUGACGGAUCCGAGCCACACCGGCUGCUCGGGCGCACGCCCCUGCCCGUAGGUGGCGAGAAUCGCCUCGGCUUC
Molecule: antisense RNA, 75 nt
Filed under: Salinispora arenicola
Lineage: Bacteria; Bacillati; Actinomycetota; Actinomycetes; Micromonosporales; Micromonosporaceae
Also listed under: 1 other name
Description: ASpks TB sRNA
Rfam family: ASpks TB sRNA
Source: RNAcentral